CCCAGACUCCUACGGGAGGCAGCAGUGGGGAAUAUUGCACAAUGGGGGGAACCCUGAUGCAGCGACGCCGCGUGAGUGAAGAAGUAUUUCGGUAUGUAAAGCUCUAUCAGCAGGGAAGAUAAUGACGGUACCUGACUAAGAAGCCCCGGCUAACUACGUGCCAGCAGCCGCGGUAAUACGUAGGGGGCAAGCGUUAUCCGGAUUUACUGGGUGUAAAGGGUGCGUAGGUGGCAGGGCAAGUCAGAUGUGAAAGCCCGGGGCCCAACCCCGGUACUGCAUUUGAAACUGUCCGGCUGGAGUGCAGGAGAGGUAAGCGGAAUUCCUAGUGUAGCGGUGAAAUGCGUAGAUAUUAGGAGGAACACCAGUGGCGAAGGCGGCUUACUGGACUGUAACUGACACUGAGGCACGAAAGCGUGGGGAGCAAACAGGAUUAGAUACCCCAGUA
This 445-nucleotide ribosomal RNA is filed under the name uncultured bacterium. Its description in RNAcentral is "bacterial SSU rRNA". It matches the Rfam family "Bacterial small subunit ribosomal RNA", at positions 330 to 792 of the family's 1533-position model. The record is from RNAcentral.